AGCUAAUGUAAAUCUGCUCAACUGUGGUUUGAACCUAUUGCCUCUUGUCUUGCCCACUAUGGCAAAAUAGAACAACUUUUCUCCAUCUUUUUUAUGGCAGCCUUUCAAGUAUCU
This is a non-coding RNA of Chelonoidis abingdonii (Abingdon island giant tortoise), 114 nucleotides long. The record is from RefSeq and is a predicted model, not a curated record. Lineage: Eukaryota; Metazoa; Chordata; Testudines; Testudinidae.